UGUCAGCAUCGUCUCCCAUAGAAUGCUGUGGGCCACUGACAGCGGGAAAAUGUCUCAAUAGAAAUGACCCGAUCAGGUUUGCCCCAGAAGUCAGGAGAAGUGCAGUCCUCAUCAAGCUGGAAAAAGCUUGUUUGCUCCUCCUCCUCCAAACCGGAGAAAUCAAUAUCCGAGUCGUUUGAGGUGGAGUCAGAGCAGUUGUUGGAGGUAGAAUAAUAGCAUUCCUCGUGCUUGACUCCAUUGCCAGUGACCAGAAUAAUAUUGCAGCCGCCUCCCGCGAUAGUCGUGGCUGAACGACGACAACAUCAACAUACAGCUGGCUGGUUAUACGAUGUACUGGCAGGAUGGAACAGAGGCAUCUGGUAUCAUGGCUCGAGAUUUCUUUGAGGAAGAAAUCAUCAAGAGAUAUGCUGGACCCCAUGUCAGAGAGGUG
This is a long non-coding RNA of Oncorhynchus masou masou (cherry salmon), 430 nucleotides long. RefSeq lists it as uncharacterized. The transcript is spliced from 3 exons. Lineage: Eukaryota; Metazoa; Chordata; Actinopteri; Salmoniformes; Salmonidae. The record is from RefSeq and is a predicted model, not a curated record.